Small nucleolar RNA from Otolemur garnettii (small-eared galago), 204 nucleotides. Its record names the gene SNORA73. It matches the Rfam family "Small nucleolar RNA SNORA73 family". Rfam says of the family: U17 (SNORA73A and SNORA73B) also known as E1 belongs to the H/ACA class of small nucleolar RNAs (snoRNAs). Vertebrate U17 is intron-encoded and ranges in length from 200-230 nucleotides, longer than most snoRNAs. It is one of the most abundant snoRNAs in human cells and is essential for the cleavage of pre-rRNA within the 5' external transcribed spacer (ETS). The record is from Ensembl. Lineage: Eukaryota; Metazoa; Chordata; Mammalia; Primates; Galagidae.
CCAACAUGGAUACCCUGGGAAGUCACUCUACCCAGGCUCUGUCCAAGUCACGUAGAGGAGCAUAGGGCUCCACCCCAUGAUGUACAGUCCCUUUCCACAAUGUUGGAGAUGAAGCUGGGCCUUGCAUCUGCACCUGCAUAUUCCUACAACUUCUCAGAGUCCUGUGGACAAUGACUAGGGAGACAAACCAUGCAGGAAACAUGU